AUGCCUUGGAGUUCACUUGUACAUUCUUCUAGCCUUGUAGAGCUCUUCCCUUCCCAUACAAACACAUGCAUGACAUAAGGGCUGUGGUCUUCCUUCCUGUACUUAAAUCUGGUGUUUGUUUGAUCUUACAGGCUUCUUCAUAUUUUGCAUUUAAAUUUGGGUUAUUGUUAUUCAUCAAGACAUGGCAGUCUACUCCCCUGUUUUGGGUGUCACGAUCAAAAUAGCAGUAGGACAGCAGUAUGGAAUAAAUGAGACUUUGGGUCAAGCUACCAGGUGUUAUGUUGCUGUCAGUACUGCAACAUAUUAAGGUGUUCUUAUGUUUGUUUGGUGGGCUUUCAAGCCACUUGUGUUUGCAUUUUGUCCAAAACUCAUGAAGACUGAAGGUGUGGCUGGAAAAUCUUCAGUUUUAGGGAUCAAAGGAUCAUCUGGCAUAAUUAUGGAAAACAAUGAAUUGCCAGUGUUUUGCUGUUGAUCAUGUUUGCAGUUUUGCC
Long non-coding RNA from Triticum dicoccoides, 491 nucleotides. RefSeq lists it as uncharacterized. Lineage: Eukaryota; Viridiplantae; Streptophyta; Magnoliopsida; Poales; Poaceae. The transcript has 3 exons. The record is from RefSeq and is a predicted model, not a curated record.